AGGACGAACGCUGGCGGCGUGCUUAACACAUGCAAGUCACGGGGGUCCCGCAAGGGAUAACCGGCGAACGGGUGCGUAACACGUGAACAACCUGCCCUCGUGUGGGGGAUAGCCAUGCUAACGCGUGGGUAAUACCGCAUACGUUUCCCGAAGGGAGUCCUUUGGGAAGGAAAGCUCCGGCGCACGGGGAGGGUUCGCGGCCUAGUCAGCUAGUUGGCGGGUAAUGGCCACCAAGGCGACGACGGGUAAC
RNAcentral lists this ribosomal RNA (250 nucleotides) under uncultured soil bacterium. Its description in RNAcentral is "partial 16S ribosomal RNA". It matches the Rfam family "Bacterial small subunit ribosomal RNA", at positions 26 to 287 of the family's 1533-position model. The record is from RNAcentral.